RNAcentral lists this transfer RNA (71 nucleotides) under Heterocephalus glaber (naked mole-rat). It matches the Rfam family "tRNA". Rfam says of the family: Transfer RNA (tRNA) molecules are approximately 80 nucleotides in length. Their secondary structure includes four short double-helical elements and three loops (D, anti-codon, and T loops). Lineage: Eukaryota; Metazoa; Chordata; Mammalia; Rodentia; Bathyergidae. The record is from Rfam by way of RNAcentral.
GGGGAUGUGGCUCAGAGGUAGAGCACUUGCCUACUAUGUGUGAGGCCUGGGUUCAAUCCUCAGCAUCACAG